RNAcentral lists this ribosomal RNA (403 nucleotides) under bacterium. RNAcentral describes it as "partial 16S ribosomal RNA". It matches the Rfam family "Bacterial small subunit ribosomal RNA", at positions 355 to 776 of the family's 1533-position model. The record is from RNAcentral.
UGGGGAAUAUUGCACAAUGGAGGGAACUCUGAUGCAGCGACGCCGCGUGAACGAAGAAGGCUUUCGAGUCGUAAAGUUCUUUUAUAUGGGAAGAUAAUGACGGUACCAUAAGAAGAAGCCCCGGCUAACUACGUGCCAGCAGCCGCGGUAAUACGUAGGGGGCUAGCGUUGUCCGGAAUCACUGGGCGUAAAGGGUUCGCAGGCGGAAAUGCAAGUCAGGUGUAAAAGGCAGUAGCUUAACUACUGUAAGCAUUUGAAACUGCAUAUCUUGAGAAGAGUAGAGGUAAGUGGAAUUUUUAGUGUAGCGGUGAAAUGCGUAGAUAUUAAAAAGGAUACCGGUGGCGAAGGCGACUUACUGGGCUCAUUCUGACGCUGAGGAACGAAAGCGUGGGUAGCAAACAGG